This 1341-nucleotide ribosomal RNA is filed under the name Staphylococcaceae bacterium 5_K_9. RNAcentral's name for it is "bacterial SSU rRNA". It matches the Rfam family "Bacterial small subunit ribosomal RNA", at positions 77 to 1402 of the family's 1533-position model. The record is from RNAcentral. Lineage: Bacteria; Bacillati; Bacillota; Bacilli; Caryophanales; Staphylococcaceae.
AGCUUGCUCCUUUGACGUUAGCGGCGGACGGGUGAGUAACACGUGGGUAACCUACCUAUAAGACUGGGAUAACUUCGGGAAACCGGAGCUAAUACCGGAUAACAUUUGGAACCGCAUGGUUCUAAAGUGAAAGAUGGUUUUGCUAUCACUUAUAGAUGGACCCGCGCCGUAUUAGCUAGUUGGUAAGGUAACGGCUUACCAAGGCAACGAUACGUAGCCGACCUGAGAGGGUGAUCGGCCACACUGGAACUGAGACACGGUCCAGACUCCUACGGGAGGCAGCAGUAGGGAAUCUUCCGCAAUGGGCGAAAGCCUGACGGAGCAACGCCGCGUGAGUGAUGAAGGGUUUCGGCUCGUAAAACUCUGUUAUUAGGGAAGAACAAAUGUGUAAGUAACUGUGCACAUCUUGACGGUACCUAAUCAGAAAGCCACGGCUAACUACGUGCCAGCAGCCGCGGUAAUACGUAGGUGGCAAGCGUUAUCCGGAAUUAUUGGGCGUAAAGCGCGCGUAGGCGGUUUCUUAAGUCUGAUGUGAAAGCCCACGGCUCAACCGUGGAGGGUCAUUGGAAACUGGGAAACUUGAGUGCAGAAGAGGAAAGUGGAAUUCCAUGUGUAGCGGUGAAAUGCGCAGAGAUAUGGAGGAACACCAGUGGCGAAGGCGACUUUCUGGUCUGUAACUGACGCUGAUGUGCGAAAGCGUGGGGAUCAAACAGGAUUAGAUACCCUGGUAGUCCACGCCGUAAACGAUGAGUGCUAAGUGUUAGGGGGUUUCCGCCCCUUAGUGCUGCAGCUAACGCAUUAAGCACUCCGCCUGGGGAGUACGACCGCAAGGUUGAAACUCAAAGGAAUUGACGGGGACCCGCACAAGCGGUGGAGCAUGUGGUUUAAUUCGAAGCAACGCGAAGAACCUUACCAAAUCUUGACAUCCUUUGAAAACUCUAGAGAUAGAGCCUUCCCCUUCGGGGGACAAAGUGACAGGUGGUGCAUGGUUGUCGUCAGCUCGUGUCGUGAGAUGUUGGGUUAAGUCCCGCAACGAGCGCAACCCUUAAGCUUAGUUGCCAUCAUUAAGUUGGGCACUCUAGGUUGACUGCCGGUGACAAACCGGAGGAAGGUGGGGAUGACGUCAAAUCAUCAUGCCCCUUAUGAUUUGGGCUACACACGUGCUACAAUGGACAAUACAAAGGGCAGCUAAACCGCGAGGUCAUGCAAAUCCCAUAAAGUUGUUCUCAGUUCGGAUUGUAGUCUGCAACUCGACUACAUGAAGCUGGAAUCGCUAGUAAUCGUAGAUCAGCAUGCUACGGUGAAUACGUUCCCGGUUCUUGUACACACCGCCCGUCACAC